This is a non-coding RNA of Acanthosepion pharaonis, 97 nucleotides long. The record is from the annotation of a GenBank genome assembly. Lineage: Eukaryota; Metazoa; Mollusca; Cephalopoda; Sepiida; Sepiidae.
UCAAACAUCGGUUCCCGUACUAUCACUGAAGUUAAGCAACGCCGAGUCUAAUCAGUACCUAGAUGGGUGACGGCUUGGGAAUAUCAGGUGCUGUAAG